Molecule: unclassified non-coding RNA, 916 nt
Filed under: Hevea brasiliensis (rubber tree)
Lineage: Eukaryota; Viridiplantae; Streptophyta; Magnoliopsida; Malpighiales; Euphorbiaceae
Source: RNAcentral
GGAAAUGGGAAUGGAGAAGAAAAUAGUAGCUGUUUUGUUGAUAGUUGGCGUGAUGUUGGGUCAUUUGCAAAGCGGUGAGCCUUCUGAUGCCGAUUGCUUUGAUGGUUGCAUCACAGCUUGCGUACAACCAAACCUAAGGCUUAUGCGACGCUGUGAGAUCAAGUGCGGAAUUAAAUGCAAUUCUGCUUCUCAAAUGGAAGAUCCUUUGGGUUGAGGUAUUCUUCACCGCAUGGGAAAAGUUGGGCUCAUUAUCUAUUGUAACAGUUAGAAAUAACGGCCUAAUAGGCUUCUUCACUUGUACGCCUUAAUUUCCUGGAAACUUUUCAUGUUUAAUUUAAAUAAAAAAAUAUAAAUAAGGGCACGUGGCGUCAAUCUAUGCUCAAUGUGACAAAUACAAGCUAAAAAUCUUUGGCUUCAUGUUUGUCUUUAAACUGUCCUUGUAAAGAAAGAGGAAGUGUUGGUCGGCUUUGACUUAAGCUUGGGAAUCCUUUGCUGUUUAGUAAUGCUUCUGAAAGAGUUCCUGCGUCGAUUGCCAAUGCAUAUGAUAUGUGAAAGUCCACCAAGGGAGUUGCUCUGAACUCUUCAUCUUGGCCGAUUUCCAACAGGUUGGGCUGGUCAUUUGGGUCAAUUGAGGUCGCCGUGGUGCCUUUUGAGCCGACUGGCUUCCUUUUUCAAGCUCCGUUGCUCUUGCCCCCUAUUCUUAUUUAUGUUGGCCUCUCAAACUCUUCUUCAAUGAUUUUCAUUCUAUAAAGGUCAAUUGUGCCUUUGGCUUGAGGAUGUACUUUUCAUUUAGUUGUUUGAGUUGUUUGUGUUAGUACGUGUACACUGCAGCUAUUAUGUUGAUUGUAGGGGUAAUUACUUAAUUUCAUGAAAAUUAAUUUUUUUUUUUUUUAAAGAAAAAAUAGCUUUUAUUUAU